RNAcentral lists this ribosomal RNA (372 nucleotides) under uncultured organism. RNAcentral's name for it is "bacterial SSU rRNA". It matches the Rfam family "Bacterial small subunit ribosomal RNA", at positions 526 to 896 of the family's 1533-position model. The record is from RNAcentral.
CAGGAGGGGCAAGCGUUGUUCGGAAUUACUGGGCGUAAAGGGCGCGUAGGCGGCCUGUUAAGUCGAACGUGAAAUCCCCGGGCUCAACCCGGGAACUGCGUCCGAUACUGGCAGGCUUGAAUCCGGGAGAGGGAUGCGGAAUUCCAGGUGUAGCGGUGAAAUGCGUAGAUAUCUGGAGGAACACCGGUGGCGAAGGCGGCAUCCUGGACCGGCAUUGACGCUGAGGCGCGAAAGCCAGGGGAGCAAACGGGAUUAGAUACCCCGGUAGUCCUGGCCCUAAACGAUGAAUGCUUGGUGUGGCGGGUAUCGAUCCCUGCCGUGCCGAAGCUAACGCAUUAAGCAUUCCGCCUGGGGAGUACGGUCGCAAGGCUG